This 86-nucleotide transfer RNA is filed under the name Labrenzia sp. THAF82. Its description in RNAcentral is "tRNA-Leu". It matches the Rfam family "tRNA". Rfam says of the family: Transfer RNA (tRNA) molecules are approximately 80 nucleotides in length. Their secondary structure includes four short double-helical elements and three loops (D, anti-codon, and T loops). Lineage: Bacteria; Pseudomonadati; Pseudomonadota; Alphaproteobacteria; Hyphomicrobiales; Stappiaceae. RNAcentral also lists the same sequence under 2 other names. The record is from RNAcentral.
GCGGGCGUGGUGGAAUUGGUAUACACAACAGACUUAAAAUCUGUCGGCCCUAGGCCAUGCGGGUUCAAGUCCCGCCGUCCGCACCA